UACGUAGGCAGCAAGCGUUGUUCGGAGUUACUGGGCGUAAAGGGUGCGUAGGUGGCUCUAUAAGUAUGGUGUGAAAUCUCCCGGCUUAACUGGGAGGGUGCGCCGUAGACUGUGGGGCUAGAGUGUGGGAGAGGAAAGUGGAAUUCCUGGUGUAGCGGUGAAAUGCGUAGAUAUCAGGAGGAACACCGGUGGCGAAGGCGGGUCUCUGGGCCGGAACUGACGCUGAGGAGCGAAAGCGUGGGGAGCGAACAGG
RNAcentral lists this ribosomal RNA (253 nucleotides) under uncultured bacterium. RNAcentral's name for it is "partial 16S ribosomal RNA". It matches the Rfam family "Bacterial small subunit ribosomal RNA", at positions 524 to 776 of the family's 1533-position model. The record is from RNAcentral.